Molecule: unclassified non-coding RNA, 514 nt
Filed under: uncultured Glomus
Lineage: Eukaryota; Fungi; Glomeromycota; Glomeromycetes; Glomerales; Glomeraceae
Description: SSU rRNA
Rfam family: Eukaryotic small subunit ribosomal RNA
Source: RNAcentral
AGCAGCCGCGGUAAUUCCAGCUCCAAUAGCGUAUAUUAAAGUUGUUGCAGUUAAAAAGCUCGUAGUUGAAUUUCGAGAUCAAAUUGUUGGUCGUGCCUUGGUACGCACUGGCAUUAUUGGUUUCUCCCUUCUGACGAACCAUGAUGUCAUUAAUUUGGUGUCUUGGGGAAUCAGGACUGUUACUUUGAAAAAUUAGAGUGUUUAAAGCAGGCUCACGCUUGAAUACAUUAGCAUGGAAUAAUGAAAUAGGACGUUUGAUUCUAUUUUGUUGGUUUCUAGGAUCGACGUAAUGAUUAAUAGGGAUAGUUGGGGGCAUUAGUAUUCAAUUGUCAGAGGUGAAAUUCUUGGAUUUAUUGAAGACUAACUACUGCGAAAGCAUUUGCCAAGGAUGUUUUCAUUAAUCAAGAACGAAAGUUAGGGGAUCGAAGACGAUCAGAUACCGUCGUAGUCUUAACCAUAAACUAUGCCGACUAGGGAUCGGAUGAUGUUAAUUUUUAAUGACUCAUUCGGUACG